Molecule: ribosomal RNA, 429 nt
Filed under: Chloroflexota bacterium
Lineage: Bacteria; Bacillati; Chloroflexota
Also listed under: 1 other name
Description: Chloroflexi bacterium partial 16S ribosomal RNA
Rfam family: Bacterial small subunit ribosomal RNA
Source: RNAcentral
UGGGGAAUAUUGCACAAUGGGCGCAAGCCUGAUGCAGCCAUGCCGCGUGUAUGAAGAAGGCCUUCGGGUUGUAAAGUACUUUCAGCGGGGAGGAAGGGAGUAAAGUUAAUACCUUUGCUCAUUGACGUUACCCGCAGAAGAAGCACCGGCUAACUCCGUGCCAGCAGCCGCGGUAAUACGGAGGGUGCAAGCGUUAAUCGGAAUUACUGGGCGUAAAGCGCACGCAGGCGGUUUGUUUAGUCAGAUGUGAAAUCCCCGGGCUCAACCUGGGAACUGCAUCUGAUACUGGCAAGCUUGAGUCUCGUAGAGGGGGGUAGAAUUCCAGGUGUAGCGGUGAAAUGCGUAGAGAUCUGGAGGAAUACCGGUGGCGAAGGCGGCCCCCUGGACGAAGACUGACGCUCAGGUGCGAAAGCGUGGGGAGCAAACAGG